This is a long non-coding RNA of Erpetoichthys calabaricus (reedfish), 169 nucleotides long. RefSeq lists it as uncharacterized. The record is from RefSeq and is a predicted model, not a curated record. NCBI's taxonomy places the organism in Eukaryota, Metazoa, Chordata, Cladistia, Polypteriformes, Polypteridae. The transcript is spliced from 3 exons.
CAACUUCACAGUAAUUUGUUUGACUUUAACAAAGAGGGCAACCUGUCAUUGUUGUGAUUUAAAUGUGGAAGUGCAAGGACUGUGGUGCAACAUUAUAAAAAUUGUAACCCAAAUGAUGCUGAGAGGGAGAUUGAAGAAAGAGUCAUGGGGAUAUAUGUAAUAUUAAGAG